ACAGGGAUUCCCCUAGUAACGGCGAGUGAAGCGGGAACAGCUCAAAUUUGAAAUCUGGCCCUCGGGUCCGAGUUGUAAUUUGUAGAGGAUGCUUUUGGUGCGGUGCCUUCCGAGUUCCCUGGAACGGGACGCCUUAGAGGGUGAGAGCCCCGUACGGUUGGACGCCUAGCCUCUGUAAAGCUCCUUCGACGAGUCGAGUAGUUUGGGAAUGCUGCUCUAAAUGGGAGGUAUAUUUCUUCUAAAGCUAAAUACCGGCCAGAGACCGAUAGCGCACAAGUAGAGUGAUCGAAAGAUGAAAAGCACUUUGAAAAGAGGGUUAAAUAGCACGUGAAAUUGUUGAAAGGGAAGCGUUUAUCACCAGACUUUUUCUGGGGGGAUCAUCCGGUGUUCUCACCGGUGCACUUCCCCCAGUUGAGGCCAGCAUCGGUUUUCGGAGGGGGAUAAAAGCUUCGGGAAUGUGACUCCCUCGGGAGUGUUAUAGCCCGUUGCAUAAUACCCUUCUGGGGACCGAGGUUCGCGCAUCUGCAAGGAUGCUGGCGUAAUGGUGAUCAACGACCCGUCUUGAAACACGGACCAAGGAGUCGAACAUUUAUGCGAGUGUUUGGGUGUCAAACCCUCACGCGUAAUGAAAGUGAACGGAGGUGAGAGCCCUUACGGGUGCAUCAUCGACCGAUCCUGAUGUCUUCGGAUGGAUUUGAGUAAGAGCAUAACUGUUCGGACCCGAAAGAUGGUGAACUAUGCGUGGAUAGGGUGAAGCCAGGAGAAAUCCUGGUGGAGGCUCGCAGCGGUUCUGACGUGCAAAUCGAUCGUCAAAUCUGCGCAUGGGGGCGAAAGACUAAUCGAACCAUCUA
RNAcentral lists this ribosomal RNA (851 nucleotides) under Nigrospora bambusae. RNAcentral's name for it is "eukaryotic LSU rRNA". It matches the Rfam family "Eukaryotic large subunit ribosomal RNA", at positions 68 to 946 of the family's 3401-position model. Lineage: Eukaryota; Fungi; Ascomycota; Sordariomycetes; Amphisphaeriales; Apiosporaceae. The record is from RNAcentral.